This 710-nucleotide ribosomal RNA is filed under the name uncultured Verrucomicrobiota bacterium. Its description in RNAcentral is "bacterial SSU rRNA". It matches the Rfam family "Bacterial small subunit ribosomal RNA", at positions 232 to 934 of the family's 1533-position model. Lineage: Bacteria; Pseudomonadati; Verrucomicrobiota. The record is from RNAcentral.
CGCGGCUGAUUAGCUAGUUGGUGAGGUAACGGCCCACCAAGGCUAAGACGGGUAGCUGGUCUGAGAGGACGACCAGCCACACUGGAACUGAGACACGGUCCAGACACCUACGGGUGGCAGCAGUCGAGAAUUUUUCACAAUGGGCGCAAGCCUGAUGGAGCGACGCCGCGUGGGGGAUGAAUGGCUUCGGCCCGUAAACCCCUGUCAUUCGCGAUCAAACCUCGCUAUUUAAAGGAUGACGAGCUGAUAGUAGCGGAAGAGGAAGGGACGGCUAACUCUGUGCCAGCAGCCGCGGUAAUACAGAGGUCCCAAGCGUUGUUCGGAUUCACUGGGCGUAAAGGGUGCGUAGGUGGUGAGGUAAGUCGGAUGUGAAAGCUCGGAGCUCAACUCCGAAAUGGCAUUGGAAACUACCUUGCUCGAGGGUUGGAGGGGGGACUGGAAUUCUCGGUGUAGCAGUGAAAUGCGUAGAUAUCGAGAGGAACACCAGUGGCGAAGGCGAGUCCCUGGACAACUCCUGACACUGAGGCACGAAAGCUAGGGGAGCAAACAGGAUUAGAUACCCUGGUAGUCCUAGCCGUAAACGGUGCACGUUUGCUGUAAAAGGAAUCGACCCCUUUUGUGGCGUACCCAACGCGUUAAACGUGCCGCCUGGGAAGUACGGUCGCAAGAUUAAAACUCGAAGAAUUGACCGGGGGCCUGCACAAGCGGUG